This 88-nucleotide transfer RNA is filed under the name Candidatus Azobacteroides pseudotrichonymphae genomovar. CFP2. Its description in RNAcentral is "tRNA-Ser (GGA) (tRNA-Ser-GGA-1-1)". It matches the Rfam family "tRNA". Rfam says of the family: Transfer RNA (tRNA) molecules are approximately 80 nucleotides in length. Their secondary structure includes four short double-helical elements and three loops (D, anti-codon, and T loops). The record is from Rfam by way of RNAcentral. RNAcentral also lists the same sequence under 1 other name. Lineage: Bacteria; Pseudomonadati; Bacteroidota; Bacteroidia; Bacteroidales.
GGAGAGGUGCUCGAGUGGUUAAAGAGGCAUGUUUGGAAAGCAUGUAUGCCUUAAAAAGGCAUCGCAGGUUCGAAUCCUGUUCUCUCCG